AGUAUGCUUCAAUCUACAUUUAACCUCUAUAGUUUUUUUUAUAUUGAUAGCUUUUUAUAUUUUAAAAUACAUGCAAAGAAUAAUUUUGAUUAUAUUAAGUUAAAAAGUUUUUGUACAAACAAAACCAAUGCAGAUAAGACUGAAAGGGAAGCAAUAAAGUGGGAAAAAAGUUUUACAUCCAAGGGUUCUGAUAAAGGCCUCAUUUCUAAAAUACAUAAAGAAUGUACUCAAAUUUAUAAGAAUUCAAGCCACUCCCCAAUUGAUAAAUGAUCAAAAUAUAUGAAUAGACAAUUUCCAGAUGAAGAAAUUAAAACCAUUUCUACUCAUAUGAAAAAAUGCUCUAAAUAAUUAUUGAUCAGAAAAAUGCAAAUUAAAAUGACUCCAAGGUACCACUACACAUCUCUCAGAUUGGCUAAGAUGACAGGAAAAGAUGAUGCAUAUUGGAGGGGAUAUGGGAAAACAGACACUAAUACAUUGUUGGUGGAGUUGUGAACUGAUGCAACCAUUCUGGAGAGCAAUUUGGAACUAUGCCGAAAGGAUUAUUAAACUUUGCAUACCCUUCAAGAUCUAGCAGUGUCUCUACUGGCCCUGUAUCUCAAAGAGAUCAUAAAAAAGGGAAAAGGACCCACAUGUGCAAAAAUCUUUGUGGCAGCCCUUUUUGUAGUGAUAAGAAACUGGAAACUGAAGGGAUGCCCAUCAUGGAGAAUGACUGAGUAAGUUAUGGUAUCUGAAUCUUAUGGAAUAUUAUUGUUCUAUAAAAAACAAUUGACAGGAUGAUUUCAGAAAGUCCUGGGGAGACUCGCAUGAACAGAUGCUGAGUGAAGUGAGUAGAACCAGGAGAUCAUUGUACACAGCAAAAGCAAAAUUAUGUGAUGAUUAAUUCUGAUGGACAUGACUCUUUUGAACAAUGAGGUGAUUCAGGCAGUUUCAAUGGUCUUGUAAUGAAGAGAGCCACCUACAUCCAGAGAGAAGAGUGUGGGGACUGAGUGUGAAUCACAACAUAGUAUUUUCACUUUUUUGUUGUUGUUUGCACUUUGUUUUCUUACUCAUUUUUUUCUUUUUUAGUCUGAUUUUUCUUGUGUAGCAUAUUUGUGGAAAUAUGUAUAGAAGAAUUGUACUGUUUAACAUAUAUUGCAUCACUUGCUGUCCAGGGAGGGGGUAGGGGUAACUAUUUGGAACACGAGAUUUUGUAAGGGCAAAUAUUGAAAAUCAUCUCUGCAUAUGUUUUGAAAGUAAAAAGCUUUAAUAAAAAGGAAUGAACAAAUCUAGAAUUAUGCAAAAAAGAAAAAAAUACAUGCAAAGACAGGUUUCAACAUUCAUCCUUAUAUUAUCAUGGCACAAAUUUUUCUCCCUCCCUCUCCUUCCCCUCCCCUACACAGCAAUAAUCCAGCAUAGAUUAAACAUGUGCAAUUCUUCUAAACAUAUUUCUACAAAUAUGCUGCUGUGCAAGAAAAAAAUCAGAUCAAAAGAGGGAAAAAAGGAGAAAGAAAAAAACCUCAAGCAAACAACAACAAAGAUGGAAACAUUAUUCUGUGAUUCAUAUUUACUCUCCAUAGUCUUUUCUUUGGAUGUAGAUGGCUCUUUCCAUUACAUGUUUAUUGGAAUUAUCAUGAAUCACUUCAUUGUUGAAAACAGCCAAAUCCUUCACCAAUGAUCUCCAUACAAUUUUCUUGUUGCUGUUUAUGAUGUUCUCUUGGUUCUAUUCAUUUCACUUAUAAUCAGUUCAUAUAAGUCUUUCCAGGCUGUUCUGAAAUCAAUCUGCUCAUCAUUCUUACAGAACAAUAAUA
RNAcentral lists this long non-coding RNA (1787 nucleotides) under Sarcophilus harrisii (Tasmanian devil). Its description in RNAcentral is "lncRNA (ENSSHAG00000032212.1)". The record is from RNAcentral. Lineage: Eukaryota; Metazoa; Chordata; Mammalia; Dasyuromorphia; Dasyuridae.